AACGAACGCUGGCGGCAUGCCUAACACAUGCAAGUCGAACGAGACCUUCGGGUCUAGUGGCGCACGGGUGCGUAACGCGUGGGAAUCUGCCCUUGGGUUCGGAAUAACAGUUAGAAAUGACUGCUAAUACCGGAUGAUGUCUUCGGACCAAAGAUUUAUCGCCCAGGGAUGAGCCCGCGUAGGAUUAGCUAGUUGGUGGGGUAAAGGCCUACCAAGGCGACGAUCCUUAGCUGGUCUGAGAGGAUGAUCAACCACACUGGGACUGAGACACGGCCCAGACUCCUACGGGAGGCAGCAGUGGGGAAUAUUGGACAAUGGGCGAAAGCCUGAUCCAGCAAUGCCGCGUGAGUGAUGGAGGCCUUAGGGUUGUAAAGCUCUUUUACCCGGGAUGAUAAUGACAGUACCGGGAGAAUAAAGCCCCCGGCUAACUCCGUGCCAGCAGCCGC
This 446-nucleotide ribosomal RNA is filed under the name uncultured bacterium. Its description in RNAcentral is "bacterial SSU rRNA". It matches the Rfam family "Bacterial small subunit ribosomal RNA", at positions 29 to 518 of the family's 1533-position model. The record is from RNAcentral.